UACAGAGGUCUCAAGCGUUGUUCGGAUUCAUUGGGCGUAAAGGGUGCGCAGGCGGCACGGUAAGUCGGGUGUGAAAUCUCGGAGCUUAACUCCGAAACUGCAUUCGAUACUGCCGUGCUUGAGGACUGGAGAGGAGACUGGAAUUUACGGUGUAGCGGUGAAAUGCGUAGAUAUCGUAAGGAAGACCAGUGGCGAAGGCGGGUCUCUGGACAGUUCCUGACGCUGAGGCACGAAGGUCAGGGGAGCAAACGGG
This 253-nucleotide ribosomal RNA is filed under the name uncultured bacterium. RNAcentral describes it as "partial 16S ribosomal RNA". It matches the Rfam family "Bacterial small subunit ribosomal RNA", at positions 524 to 776 of the family's 1533-position model. The record is from RNAcentral.